GACACGUCUGGCAGUGCAGGAUUUGAGUCCCUGGUGGCGCAUUGUGUUCCUGAUAGUAGCCUUUGUUACUGUGGUCCCAGCUCUCUGUAGGUCAUUCACUAGGUCCCCCCGUGUGGUUCUGGGAUUUUUGCUCACCGUUCUUGUUAUCAUUUUGACGCCACGGGGUGAGAUCUUGCUUGGAGCCCCUGAUCGAGGGAGAUUAUCAGUAGUCUUGUAUGUCUUCCAUUUUCUAAUAAUUGCUCCCACAGUUGAUUUCUUUACACCAAGCGUUUUACCUAUUGCAGAUUCAGUCUUCCCAGCCUGGUGCAGGUCUACAAUAUUGUCUCUGGUGUCGUUGAACAGCUCUUUGGUCUUGGCCAUAGUGGAGUUUGGAGUGUGACUGACUGAGAUUGUGGACAGGUGCCAUUAAUACAGUAACAAUAACUAGGACCCACAGCAGCCAUUGAGGGCCGGUUUGGAGACCCCUGUUCUGGAGCAAAGCCUUUUUAAAUCCGCCUGCGAUUUGUGACUGGGACGAAGGUUCGCCUUCCAGCAGGCCAAUAACCCGAAGCAUACUGAUCAAGCUACACUUGAAUGGUUUAAGGAAAAGAAGUUAAAAGCAUUCAUUAGAGUGGCUUCAUCAAAGCUCGGACCCCAAUCCAAUUGAAAAUCUCUGGUUUGACUUGAACACAUACACUCACAAGUGGAUACCAUUCAACUCGGACGAGUUGGAGAAGUUUUACCAUGAGGCAAAAAUCCCAAUUGCAAGAUGUUGCAAUAAAGACUCAUCAGACGUGACUUACAGUUGUAAUCGCUGCCAAAGAUGCCUCUACAAAGUACUGACUUUCAGGGGAGUGAAUAAUAUUGCACAUUGAAGUUUUUGUUUGUUGGCCUUGUUGUUUGCUUCACAAAAAAAAAAACAACAACAACAACAAAAAAAACCAAUGAAUGUUUCUAGUGCUGCAAUGAUUAAUCGAUUAACUCGAGUAUUCGAUUAGGAAAAAAAAAGAUUCAAAAUGAAUUUUGCUGCUUCGAGUAUUCGUUUAUUUAAAUUGGCGUUGUGAUGGUUUGUUUUGAAAGUGUUUGCAUUUAGUUUUAUUGAAUUGGGUGGAUACACUGCCUCAUUUCACAUGGUUGAAUCCAGCUGCUCCCUAUUAAGACCAAUAUAACCCAUAACCUAACCUAAAUUUUUGUUUGAGCUAAUUUAUUUAAUGCAUUCGUAAUUUAGUUUAUAGGUAUACUUUUCCUUUUUAUGCGGGAAUAUGUGUCCCAACCAUUUGUUAAGAGCAGUGUAUAAAAAAAAAACAACAACUGCGUUUUAUAGCACUUAAACUGGCAGAUUUUUGCUAUGCAAGUUAGCCAAUUGUUCUUUUGCUGUCCAUAGAUCCUUGUUUAUUUAUCUUUUUAUAGCGUUUGAGGCUCAGCUAAGGUAUUUUGAUUUUUCAUGUUCCUCAUCCGAUUACUUGCUUAUUCGAACUAACUAGUUUCGACUACUAAAAUAAUCGCUAGCUACAGCCCUAAAUGUUUCACAUCUAGAGUUGUUGCCAUGUUCUGUACAUGAAAUGCUGCAAAUGCUCAAACGAUACAAUUUAAUACCAGUUUCUGAUUCUUUUAAACACUUGCUCUUUUUUACAUAAAUGAAAAUAAUAAUUAAAUCAAUGGCUGCCAUUUAUAAUGAUAGACGUCCAAUCCAUUUGAACUGGGAGGGCUGGCAGCCAUAAUGACAAACUAUUUAAGAAAGAGCAAAAGAGCCACAUGAUUGGACAUCCACCAUUGUCAAUGGGUGCCAGUGAGUUAAAAAUAAAACUUUUCGGGGUGAACAAGGUUAGUUAUUUACUGUACCUUUCCAUUUCCUUUUGGUCUUCAAAGGCACUUCAUUCUUGUCACCGCCAUCCACGUCUGAAUCGUUGUCUGUAUCUGAUUCAGAGCGCCGAUUGUCAUUGUUUUCUCCUUUGGCAGGGGAGUUGCUUUCAUCGUGCACUCUCAUGUGAGCUACCAAUCGCUCUUGACUAAAGAAGUUUUUCCAACAAAGUUUGCAGGAAAAAAAUUUGGGACUCUUGUGCAGUUUCUCGUGUCUCAUCAUGUUGUGCUUGUAGCUAAAUCUUCGAUCACAAACGGAGCAAGCGAAGCCUUUGUCUUCCAUGUGGAUGAUCUCGUGAUUACUCAAACUCAGCUGAGUGGGAAACACUUUCCCACAUUGGGAACAGUUAAACGAGACAUCAUUGGGAUGAUUGAACAUAUUUUUGGUCUCCAAAGAUUGAACAUGGCGGCCGUUGACGUCAGAAGAGUUUGACUUCUGAUCUUGACUGCGCGCGCUGUCAGUUUGUUGUUUGCAUGCUUUUUUUAGGGAGCCCCGUAGCACACUCUUCGGUAAGACUUUUCUCUGAACUGAGCUGUCUUGCUUGUUAUGUAGUUCCUGGUGUUUCAACAUAUGACGCUUGAGGGAAAAUUUUCUAUCGCAAACCUGACAAGCAAAACCUUUGUGCAUUACCAUGUGGGCAAAAAAUUUGCGUCUGGUGAGAAAGAUUUUCCCGCAAUGAGUACAUUUAAACUCUUUUGCAUGAAUUAGCAUGUGUCUCUUCAGGUGAUGCUUCCAUUUGAAUUUCUUAUCACAAACUGAACAAGCAUUCCCAUGUGAUAACAUGUGACUUUCCAAAAGAGUUUUGCUGUGUAGUAUACUCUCACAUAUGGAGCACUUGAAUACAGACCUUUUGACAUCUACAGUUUUACUUUUUGGUUCUUUGGCAUCGCUUAUAUUCGACGGCAGAGCUGAGUUGGCGUCAGCUUCGUCAUUUUCCUCGUAUGUUUGCUUCACAAAAUCCUUCAAGGAGUAUCUUCUAACAGAGCGAGGAGCAAGUUUUUCUUCCGCCACGUGUGUUAGCAUGUGAUUUUUCAAACCUUUUUUGCUGUAAAAUGUUUUCUCACAUUGCAAGCAGUUAAAAUCAUCGCAGUCUUGGCUUGACCUCUGAUCAACAUCGAAGUUUUCAUCAGUUUCCGCAGGUUUUUUGGCUUUGUCGGAGUGGACAAUGUCAUCGGUAUGCGGUUUUUCACUUCCUGAGUUCUUAUUAAUCCUCUCAGUGUCGCAGUUUUUAUCACUUUCUGCAGGUUUUUUGGCGUCGUCCCUCUUGACCGCUUCAUCGGCAUAUGUCGCACCACCUAUGGGGCCCCCUUUUGUCCGCUCUUUGUCAUUAUCGUCGCUGUCAUAUGUUUCGGAAGAGUCCGAUGUUAUAUCGUCCGGUUCCGAUAACGGCGCAAAGAGGCUCUCUGGUUCCGAAUGGACAUUUUCACAUUCUUCUUUUUUCACAUGGAAAACGGCGCUAUCAUUUUCUUCACUUUGAUUGCGCCCUGAGAAUGGAGGAAGCUGCUCAGCUUCGUUACUGCAUUCCACUUCCUCUUCUUCCUUUUUGAUGAACAGCGGUGGCACUUCCUGUUGCAUACCUACACCACACAGAAAGAAAAUAAAAAUUGACACUUUUGAAAUGCUGAUCCUGUAAACAUUGUAUACGGAAAUUAAUAAGGUGACCAAAUCUGAACAGGACUUUUUGAACAGGACAAAAAUGUUCCUCUUAGAUAUCUCAUGAUAUCGAGUCCUAAUCUGAUAUCUCGGAAAUGUAUUAUGAGGUAGGAAAAUCCCCAAAGAUUUGAAGAAAGCUAUUUCAACAUUAUAGCCACAUAAAAAGGCUAAGGCUCUUAGACUAGUAUAGCAUUGUUUUCAACGAAGCGAAAAAAAAAACACAACAUCCUUUUUUUUUUUCUCAAAUCAGUUAUGCAGCACAAAAUAGGGUUGCAAACAAACUACGUUUAAAUGAUAUUAUUGUAAAUAUUUU
This is a long non-coding RNA of Corythoichthys intestinalis (scribbled pipefish), 3806 nucleotides long. RefSeq lists it as uncharacterized. Lineage: Eukaryota; Metazoa; Chordata; Actinopteri; Syngnathiformes; Syngnathidae. The transcript has 2 exons. The record is from RefSeq and is a predicted model, not a curated record.